GAGGACAGAGAAGAUAGCCAUGAAGGCCGAACUGCCUGACUGCUAUAUAUAUGCAGGGGCCUCAUUUCCGCCUGUGUUUAUCCUUCCGUUGGUGGUUCAGACUAUUCAGAGUUUCUAGUGGUUGAGGUGCACUGUGUUUUCCAAGUAGAUGCACGACCUUGGUUUUCCCACUUCACAGUCCUGACUAGCACCUGUGUGCCGACAUAAGCAGAGGGGAGGGGCUUUGGCUACGUAUUGUUUUCUCCCUUCCUCUGGUGUAUGACCAUCUGUAGCCCAAGGUCUGUGUAGUGCUAAUGCAAUUAAAAGCAUCUCACAGC
RNAcentral lists this long non-coding RNA (317 nucleotides) under Rattus norvegicus (Norway rat). Its description in RNAcentral is "long non-coding RNA NONRATT018691". The record is from RNAcentral. Lineage: Eukaryota; Metazoa; Chordata; Mammalia; Rodentia; Muridae.